Molecule: unclassified non-coding RNA, 525 nt
Filed under: Hevea brasiliensis (rubber tree)
Lineage: Eukaryota; Viridiplantae; Streptophyta; Magnoliopsida; Malpighiales; Euphorbiaceae
Source: RNAcentral
CAGGUUGAGCUUGUCCAUGCUCAGUUCAGAAGAGCAAAAGGGAGGGUCGAUCCUCCUGAUGUUGAGCUGUUGGAAGAUCUCUUAUCCCUUUACAACAAGAGCAAAGAUGCAGCAGUAGAUCCAGCUGUCCUAAGAAGAUCAUCUGAGAAGUUGCAAUUGAAAGGGAUAGCUGACCUCACACAAGAGUCAUUAGCCUUGCAUGAAAUGGUUGCCGCCACUGGUGGUGAUCCUGGUGAGAACAUUGAAAAAAUGUCGAUGCUAUUAAAGAAAAUUAAAGACUUUGUGCAAACAGAAAACCCCAACAUGGAUGCUUCUGCAAUAGAAAAAAAUCAUCAUCCAGGUGGCAGUGGACAAGCUUCCAUCAAUGGGAAUCAGAGGGCCACAGUUAUACCAGAUGACUUCCGCUGCCCAAUAUCCCUGGAAAUGAUGAAAGAUCCUGUUAUUGUUUCAACAGGGCAGACCUAUGAGCGUUCCUGCAUUGAGAAGUGGCUCGAAGCAGGACAUAGCACAUGUCCAAAGACACAA